This is a long non-coding RNA of Erigeron canadensis, 602 nucleotides long. RefSeq lists it as uncharacterized. The record is from RefSeq and is a predicted model, not a curated record. The transcript is spliced from 2 exons. Lineage: Eukaryota; Viridiplantae; Streptophyta; Magnoliopsida; Asterales; Asteraceae.
UUACAUACAACCCAUAAUUCAUUACGUUUUCAAUUCCGAUGAAUUUAGACUUCUAGUCUUCCGAUUAAAUUAAUAAAUAAUAGUAAUAGUAGUAGGUAGCAUUGUAUCAUAAUUUAUCCAUCCGAUCCCAUCGGUCCCAUUCCAUCCAUCUAUACAUCCAUGACAUAUACAGUCAUACAGUGGACAAGAAUGGUGGCGACCGAGGUUGGGAAAGGACAACAACAGAUUGAACAACCACCAUCACGCCGCCCUACAGAUCUCUGAUGGGUAACGACUUAAUGAUUCAAGAAAAAGGAGGGAGUGAAUUAACAGGAGCCAGUGGUCGAUGUCAAAGAUGGGAAAAGGCCGUCGGAGUACCAGGUAUUGGUGGUGUUCCAGAUCUGUUUCAUCCCUAACUCCAUUCGUCGAUCCUCACACUUUUGCUACGACUAGAUCGCAAUUUUUCAAGGUUUUUGGUGGUUCCUUUUUUUUUUUUUUUUUUGUGAGUGUAUUAUGUGUGUUCAUAUAUGGAUGUCACUUUAAAGAAUUAACAAAUCUUUGAUUGCUUUGAAAGUGAUGGAUUGUUUUGAUAUUAAUUUUCAUAAGUUGGCUUGUUUCUCGUA